This is a small nucleolar RNA of Gossypium arboreum, 107 nucleotides long. It matches the Rfam family "Plant small nucleolar RNA R71". From Rfam's summary of the family: R71 is a member of the C/D box family of snoRNAs containing the C (UGAUGA) and D (CUGA) box motifs. Multiple nearly identical copies of this snoRNA have been identified in Arabidopsis, and it is thought to function as a 2'-O-ribose methylation guide for 18S ribosomal RNA. NCBI's taxonomy places the organism in Eukaryota, Viridiplantae, Streptophyta, Magnoliopsida, Malvales, Malvaceae. The record is from Rfam.
AACCCAUGGUGAGGGCGCCUUCUCAAUAAAUCCUUAUAUCUCUCCCAUGCAUUAUAUAAGGUUUCUAAGUUGAUUUGAAUGAAGGAAGAGAUAUCAUUCCUAAACUU